This 523-nucleotide ribosomal RNA is filed under the name uncultured bacterium. RNAcentral's name for it is "bacterial SSU rRNA". It matches the Rfam family "Bacterial small subunit ribosomal RNA", at positions 355 to 894 of the family's 1533-position model. The record is from RNAcentral.
UGGGGAAUCUUGCACAAUGGGCGAAAGCCUGAUGCAGCAACGCCGCGUGCGGGAAGACAGCCCUAGGGUUGUAAACCGCUUUCAGCAGGGAAGAAACUGACGGUACCUGCAGAAGAAGAUGCGGCCAACUACGUGCCAGCAGCCGCGGUGACACGUAGGCAUCAAGCGUUAUCCGGAUUUAUUGGGCGUAAAGAGCUCGUAGGCGGUUCGGUAAGUCGGGUGUGAAAACUCUGGGCUCAACCCAGAGAGGCCACUCGAUACUGCUGUGACUAGAGUGCGGUAGGGGAGCGGGGAAUUCCUGGUGUAGCGGUGAAAUUCGUAGAUAUUCGGUGGAACACCAGUGGCGAAGGCGACUCGCUGGUCCGGUACUGACGCUGAGGUGCGAAAGCGUGGGGAGCAAAACAGGAUUAGAUACCCUGGUAGUCCACACCGUAAACGAUGAAUGCCAGUCGUCGGGUAGCAUGCUAUUCGGUGACACACCUAACGGAUUAAGCAUUUCCGCCUGGGAGUACGGUCGCAAGGC